AUUGAACGCUGGCGGCAGGCCUAACACAUGCAAGUCGAGCGGAUGAAGGGAGCUUGCUCCUGGAUUCAGCGGCGGACGGGUGAGUAAUGCCUAGGAAUCUGCCUGGUAGUGGGGGAUAACGUCCGGAAACGGGCGCUAAUACCGCAUACGUCCUGAGGGAGAAAGUGGGGGAUCUUCGGACCUCACGCUAUCAGAUGAGCCUAGGUCGGAUUAGCUAGUUGGUGGGGUAAAGGCCUACCAAGGCGACGAUCCGUAACUGGACUGAGAGGAUGAUCAGUCACACUGGAACGGAGACACGGUCCAGACUCCUACGGGAGGCAGCAGUGGGGAAUAUUGGACAAUGGGCGAAAGCCUGAUCCAGCCAUGCCGCGUGUGUGAAGAAGGUCUUCGGAUUGUAAAGCACUUUAAGUUGGGAGGAAGGGCAGUAAGUUAAUACCUUGCUGUUUUGACGUUACCAACGGAAUAAGCACCGGCUAACUUCGUG
RNAcentral lists this ribosomal RNA (484 nucleotides) under uncultured bacterium. RNAcentral describes it as "partial 16S ribosomal RNA". It matches the Rfam family "Bacterial small subunit ribosomal RNA", at positions 30 to 507 of the family's 1533-position model. The record is from RNAcentral.